UAAUACCGCAUAAUAUCUUUUGGUCGCAUGAUGAAAGCAUCGAAGGAGGAUUCCACUUUGAGAUGGACCCGCGGCGCAUUAGCUAGUUGGUGAGGUAACGGCUCACCAAGGCGACGAUGCGUAGCCGACCUGAGAGGGUGAUCGGCCACAUUGGAACUGAGACACGGUCCAGACUCCUACGGGAGGCAGCAGUGGGGAAUAUUGCACAAUGGGGGAAACCCUGAAGCAGCAACGCCGCGUGAAUGAUGAAGGCCUUCGGGUUGUAAAGUUCUGUCUUCUGGGACGAUAAUGACGGUACCAGAGGAGGAAGCAACGGCUAACUACGUGCCAGCAGCCGCGGUAAUACGUAGGUGGCAAGCGUUGUCCGGAUUUACUGGGCGUAAAGGAUGCGUAGGCGGACAUUUAAGUCAGAUGUGAAAUACCCGAGCUUAACUUGGGUGCUGCAUUUGAGACUGGGCAUCUAGAGUGCAGGAGAGGUAA
Molecule: ribosomal RNA, 480 nt
Filed under: uncultured bacterium
Lineage: Bacteria
Description: bacterial SSU rRNA
Rfam family: Bacterial small subunit ribosomal RNA
Source: RNAcentral